This is a long non-coding RNA of Morus notabilis, 479 nucleotides long. RefSeq lists it as uncharacterized. Lineage: Eukaryota; Viridiplantae; Streptophyta; Magnoliopsida; Rosales; Moraceae. The record is from RefSeq and is a predicted model, not a curated record. The transcript is spliced from 4 exons.
CUGAAAAGCCUUUUCUCCUAUUAUGAUUUUUUUUCUAGGUGGAUUUUUGGGCUGUGGAUUCCUGAAAAGUCUAGGGUCCAUUGACUCGAUUGAUGUUGUCGACGACUACAUUUCGGAGGCUUUCUUUUGGAGGAUGGAAGCAGUCGUGGGUCAAAGUUUGCUACUCUAUGUACUUGGUUUAGGACAAAUGUUCGAGUUUUUUUUCUCUUUUUCACCGCACAUAGAACUGCAAGGGAAUAUAGUCAAGGAGACCCAAAAGAUCGAUUGACUUGGUGAUCUCAAUUAAACAAAGGAAGCUCGGGUAAGGCACCGGCUUUCUGAAACUUGUUGAUGGACGUACAGAAAGGAUGAAGCAGUGGGGUGUGGGUAAUUUAGUAAUGGAUGCACCAUGUAUUUUGAAAACGCUACUAAGUGUUUAAAGUAAAUAAUAUUUAUGGAUGUAAAUAUGCUAUGUAAUGAAAGUAAAGUAUACGAGACAA